UCGUUCACUGGGGGGAGCCGGAUAUCCCGGCUGAGAGGUUUCCUCGCGAAACGACCCCACGAACCUGACCCGGGUAAUACCGGCGGAGGGAACAGUGCGCUGAUGGACG
RNAcentral lists this non-coding RNA (109 nucleotides) under Acidobacteriota bacterium. RNAcentral's name for it is "Acidobacteria bacterium TPP sequence". It matches the Rfam family "TPP riboswitch aptamer (THI element)". From Rfam's summary of the family: Vitamin B(1) in its active form thiamin pyrophosphate (TPP) is an essential coenzyme that is synthesised by coupling of pyrimidine and thiazole moieties in bacteria. The previously detected thiamin-regulatory element, thi box was extended, resulting in a new, highly conserved RNA secondary structure, the THI element, which is widely distributed in eubacteria and also occurs in some archaea. Analysis of operon structures identified a large number of new candidate thiamin-regulated genes, mostly transporters, in various prokaryotic organisms. Lineage: Bacteria; Pseudomonadati; Acidobacteriota. The record is from RNAcentral.